RNAcentral lists this ribosomal RNA (603 nucleotides) under uncultured bacterium. RNAcentral's name for it is "bacterial SSU rRNA". It matches the Rfam family "Bacterial small subunit ribosomal RNA", at positions 8 to 606 of the family's 1533-position model. The record is from RNAcentral.
AGAGUUUGAUCAUGGCUCAGAUUGAACGCUGGCGGCAUGCCUUACACAUGCAAGUCGAACGGCAGCACGGGGCAACCUGGUGGCGAGUGGCGAACGGGUGAGUAAUAUAUCGGAACGUGCCCUGGAGUGGGGGAUAACGUAGCGAAAGUUACGCUAAUACCGCAUACGAUCUCAGGAUGAAAGCAGGGGACCCGUAAGGGCCUUGUGCUCCUGGAGCGGCCGAUAUCUGAUUAGCUAGUUGGUGGGGUAAAAGCCUACCAAGGCGACGAUCAGUAGCUGGUCUGAGAGGACGACCAGCCACACUGGAACUGAGACACGGUCCAGACUCCUACGGGAGGCAGCAGUGGGGAAUUUUGGACAAUGGGGGCAACCCUGAUCCAGCAAUGCCGCGUGUGUGAAGAAGGCCUUCGGGUUGUAAAGCACUUUUGUCAGGAACGAAACGGUUGUCCCUAAUAUGGAUGGCUAAUGACGGUACCUGAAGAAUAAGCACCGGCUAACUACGUGCCAGCAGCCGCGGUAAUACGUAGGGUGCAAGCGUUAAUCGGAAUUACUGGGCGUAAAGCGUGCGCAGGCGGUUAUGUAAGACAGAUGUGAAAUGCCCGG